ACUUCCUAAGCCGGAACGAAAAGUCUCUUUGUCGCAAUACAUUGGAACUUUUGGCUUUGUGGUUGUGAUGUUGUGUUUGCAAGUUGUCUGGGAAACCAGACUUUGUAGCGCAAGCUACUGUUUUUUCACUUCCUGUACAUUUACCCUGUCUGUCCAUAGUGAUUUUUUUAAUGCACCGCAAUUGCGGUGCUUUUUUUC
RNAcentral lists this non-coding RNA (198 nucleotides) under Xenorhabdus szentirmaii DSM 16338. RNAcentral's name for it is "GcvB RNA". It matches the Rfam family "GcvB RNA". From Rfam's summary of the family: The gcvB gene encodes a small untranslated RNA involved in expression of the dipeptide and oligopeptide transport systems in Escherichia coli. Included several unknown homologues in alignment (Bateman A pers obs). The record is from Rfam by way of RNAcentral. Lineage: Bacteria; Pseudomonadati; Pseudomonadota; Gammaproteobacteria; Enterobacterales; Morganellaceae.